GGCGAACGCUGGCGGCGCGCCUAACACAUGCAAGUCGAACGAGCGAGCGAGAGCUUGCUUUCUUGAGCGAGUGGCGAACGGGUGAGUAACGCGUGAGGAACCUGCCUCAAAGAGGGGGACAACAGUUGGAAACGACUGCUAAUACCGCAUAAGCCCACGGUGCCGCAUGGCACAGAGGGAAAAGGAGCAAUCCGCUUUGAGAUGGCCUCGCGUCCGAUUAGCUAGUUGGUGAGGUAACGGCCCACCAAGGCGACGAUCGGUAGCCGGGCUGAGAGGUUGAACGGCCACAUUGGGACUGAGACACGGCCCAGACUCCUACGGGAGGCAGCAGUGGGGAAUAUUGCACAAUGGGGGAAACCCUGAUGCAGCGACGCCGCGUGGAGGAAGAAGGUCUUCGGAUUGUAAACUCCUGUUGUUGGGGAAGAUAAUGACGGUACCCAACAAGGAAGUGACGGCUAACUACGUG
This 466-nucleotide ribosomal RNA is filed under the name uncultured bacterium. Its description in RNAcentral is "partial 16S ribosomal RNA". It matches the Rfam family "Bacterial small subunit ribosomal RNA", at positions 28 to 507 of the family's 1533-position model. The record is from RNAcentral.